AGGCCGCGUCGGCCGGGCGCGCCGGGGCGGCUGCCCUUGAUGGCCAGCAGCGCCUGAUGCUGCUGCGGCAUCAGUUCAAGGCCGGCGGCGGCGUU
Molecule: transfer RNA, 95 nt
Filed under: Achromobacter xylosoxidans
Lineage: Bacteria; Pseudomonadati; Pseudomonadota; Betaproteobacteria; Burkholderiales; Alcaligenaceae
Description: tRNA-Lys
Source: RNAcentral